Molecule: ribosomal RNA, 478 nt
Filed under: Anotogaster sieboldii
Lineage: Eukaryota; Metazoa; Arthropoda; Insecta; Odonata; Cordulegastridae
Description: partial 16S ribosomal RNA
Rfam family: Bacterial large subunit ribosomal RNA
Source: RNAcentral
UUUAACGGCCGCGGUAUAUUGACCGUGCAAAGGUAGCAUAAUCAUUAGUCUUUUAAUAGAGGGCUGGAAUGAAGGGUUUAACGAAGUACUUACUGUCUCAUUUAAUUUGGUGUUAAAAUUUACUUUUUCAGUCAAAAAGCUGAAAUAUUAUUGGAAGACGAGAAGACCCUAUAGAGCUUUAUAUUUAAUUAUUUAAUAAAUUUUUGAUGUAAUUAUUAUUUAUUAUUUAAUAAAAUAUUUUGUUGGGGUGACAAAAAUAUAUAAUUAACUUUUUUAUUUAUAUAACAUUGAUAUAUGAGAAAUAGAUCCAGUUUUACUGAUUAUUAGAAUAAGUUACCUUAGGGAUAACAGCGUAAUCUUCCUUUAGAGUUCAUAUUCACAGGGAGGCUUGCGACCUCGAUGUUGGAUUAAGAUUAUAAUUAGGUGUAGCCGCUUAAAAAAUAGGUCUGUUCGACCUUUAAAUUCUUACAUGAUCUGA